This 253-nucleotide ribosomal RNA is filed under the name uncultured bacterium. RNAcentral's name for it is "partial 16S ribosomal RNA". It matches the Rfam family "Bacterial small subunit ribosomal RNA", at positions 524 to 776 of the family's 1533-position model. The record is from RNAcentral.
UACAGAGGAUGCAAGCGUUAUCCGGAAUGAUUGGGCGUAAAGCGUCUGUAGGUGGCUUUUUAAGUCCGCCGUCAAAUCCCAGGGCUCAACUCUGGACAGGCGGUGGAAACUACCAAGCUGGAGUACGGUAGGGGCAGAGGGAAUUUCCGGUGGAGCGGUGAAAUGCGUUGAUAUCAGGAGGAACACCGGUGGCGAAGGCGGAUCUCUGGGCCAUUACUGACGCUGAGGAGCGAAAGCGUGGGGAGCGAACAGG